Molecule: transfer RNA, 82 nt
Filed under: Roseibacillus ishigakijimensis
Lineage: Bacteria; Pseudomonadati; Verrucomicrobiota; Verrucomicrobiia; Verrucomicrobiales; Verrucomicrobiaceae
Also listed under: 2 other names
Rfam family: tRNA
About the family: Transfer RNA (tRNA) molecules are approximately 80 nucleotides in length. Their secondary structure includes four short double-helical elements and three loops (D, anti-codon, and T loops). Further hydrogen bonds mediate the characteristic L-shaped molecular structure. tRNAs have two regions of fundamental functional importance: the anti-codon, which is responsible for specific mRNA codon recognition, and the 3' end, to which the tRNAs corresponding amino acid is attached (by aminoacyl-tRNA synthetases). tRNAs cope with the degeneracy of the genetic code in two manners: having more than one tRNA (with a specific anti-codon) for a particular amino acid; and 'wobble' base-pairing, i.e. permitting non-standard base-pairing at the 3rd anti-codon position.
Source: Rfam by way of RNAcentral
GCCGAGAUGGUGGAAUUGGUAGACACGCCUGGUUUAGGUUCAGGUGCCGCAAGGUGUGCAGGUUCGAGUCCUGUUCUCGGUA